RNAcentral lists this ribosomal RNA (253 nucleotides) under uncultured bacterium. Its description in RNAcentral is "partial 16S ribosomal RNA". It matches the Rfam family "Bacterial small subunit ribosomal RNA", at positions 524 to 776 of the family's 1533-position model. The record is from RNAcentral.
UACGUAGGUGGCAAGCGUUGUCCGGAUUUACUGGGUGUAAAGGGCGUGUAGGCGGGAUAGUAGGUCAGAUGUGAAAUGCCCAGGCUCAACCUGGGAGCUGCAUUUGAAACCCCUAUUCUUGAGUGUCGGAGAGGGAAGUGGAAUUCCUAGUGUAGCGGUGAAAUGCGUAGAUAUUAGGAGGAACACCAGUGGCGAAGGCGACUUUCUGGACGAUAACUGACGCUGAGGCGCGAAAGCGUGGGGAGCAAACAGG